GGGUUGUGAGGUUAAGCGACUAAGCGUACACGGUGGAUGCCUAGGCAGUCAGAGGCGAUGAAGGGCGUGCUAAUCUGCGAUAAGCGUCGGUAAGCUGAUAUGAAGCGUUAUACCCGACGAUACCCGAAUGGGGAAACCCAGUGUGUUUCGACACACUAUCAUGACAUGAAUACAUAGUGUCAUGAGGCGAACCGGGGGAACUGAAACAUCUCAGUACCCCGAGGAAAAGAAAUCAACCGAGAUUCCCCCAGUAGCGGCGAGCGAACGGGGAGGAGCCCAGAACCUGAAUCAGUUUGUGUGUUAGUGGAAGCGUCUGGAAAGUCGCACAGUAAAGGGUGAUAGUCCCGUACACAAAAAUGCACAAGCUGUGAGUUCGAUGAGUAGGGCGGGACACGUGACAUCCUGUCUGAAUAUGGGGGGACCAUCCUCCAAGGCUAAAUACUCCUGACUGACCGAUAGUGAACCAGUACCGUGAGGGAAAGGCGAAAAGAACCCCGGCGAGGGGAGUGAAAUAGAACCUGAAACCGUGUACGUACAAGCAGUGGGAGCCUACUUGUUAGGUGACUGCGUACCUUUUGUAUAAUGGGUCAGCGACUUAUAUUCUGUAGCAAGGUUAACCGUAUAGGGGAGCCGCAGGGAAACCGAGUCUUAACUGGGCGUUAAGUUGCAGGGUAUAGACCCGAAACCCGGUGAUCUAGCCAUGGGCAGGUUGAAGGUUGGGUAACACUAACUGGAGGACCGAACCGACUAAUGUUGAAAAAUUAGCGGAUGACUUGUGGCUGGGGGUGAAAGGCCAAUCAAACCGGGAGAUAGCUGGUUCUCCCCGAAAGCUAUUUAGGUAGCGCCUCGUGAAUUCAUCUUCGGGGGUAGAGCACUGUUUCGGCUAGGGGGUCAUCCCGACUUACCAACCCGAUGCAAACUACGAAUACCGAAGAAUGUUAUCACGGGAGACACACGGCGGGUGCUAACGUUCGUCGUGAAGAGGGAAACAACCCAGACCGCCAGCUAAGGUCCCAAAGUCAUGGUUAAGUGGGAAACGAUGUGGGAAGGCACAGACAGCCAGGAUGUUGGCUUAGAAGCAGCCAUCAUUUAAAGAAAGCGUAAUAGCUCACUGGUCGAGUCGGCCUGCGCGGAAGAUGUAACGGGGCUAAACCAUGCACCGAAGCUGCGGCAGCGACACUUAGGUGUUGUUGGGUAGGGGAGCGUUCUGUAAGCCGUCGAAGGUGGCCUGUGAGGGCUGCUGGAGGUAUCAGAAGUGCGAAUGCUGACAUAAGUAACGAUAAUGCGGGUGAAAAACCCGCACGCCGGAAGACCAAGGGUUCCUGUCCAACGUUAAUCGGGGCAGGGUGAGUCGACCCCUAAGGCGAGGCUGAAAAGCGUAGUCGAUGGGAAACAGGUUAAUAUUCCUGUACUCGGUGUUACUGCGAAGGGGGGACGGAGAAAGCUAGGUUAUCCGGGCGACGGUUGUCCCGGUUUAAGCGUGAAGGUGGAUGACUUUGGUAAAUCCGGGUCGUCAUUAACACUGAGGCGUGAUGACGAGUCACUACGGUGAUGAAGUAACUAAUGCUACGCUUCCAGGAAAAGCCUCUAAGCUCCAGGUAACAUCAAAUCGUACCCCAAACCGACACAGGUGGUCAGGUAGAGAAUACUCAGGCGCUUGAGAGAACUCGGGUGAAGGAACUAGGCAAAAUGGUGCCGUAACUUCGGGAGAAGGCACGCUGAUGGUAGGUGAAGUGACUUGCUCACGGAGCUGAAAUCAGUCGAAGAUACCAGCUGGCUGCAACUGUUUAAUAAAAACACAGCACUGUGCAAACACGAAAGUGGACGUAUACGGUGUGACGCCUGCCCGGUGCCGGAAGGUUAAUUGAUGGGGUCAGCCGCAAGGCGAAGCUCUUGAUCGAAGCCCCGGUAAACGGCGGCCGUAACUAUAACGGUCCUAAGGUAGCGAAAUUCCUUGUCGGGUAAGUUCCGACCUGCACGAAUGGCGUAAUGAUGGCCAGGCUGUCUCCACCCGAGACUCAGUGAAAUUGAACUCGCUGUGAAGAUGCAGUGUACCCGCGGCAAGACGGAAAGACCCCGUGAACCUUUACUAUAGCUUGACACUGAACCUUGAGCCUUGAUGUGUAGGAUAGGUGGGAGGCUUUGAAGCGUGGACGCCAGUCUGCGUGGAGCCAACCUUGAAAUACCACCCUUUAAUGUUUGAUGUUCUAACGUGGACCCGUAAUCCGGGUUGCGGACAGUGUCUGGUGGGUAGUUUGACUGGGGCGGUCUCCUCCCAAAGCGUAACGGAGGAGCACGAAGGUUAGCUAAUCCUGGUCGGACAUCAGGAGGUUAGUGCAAAGGCAUAAGCUAGCUUGACUGCGAGAGUGACAGCUCGAGCAGGUGCGAAAGCAGGUCUUAGUGAUCCGGUGGUUCUGAAUGGAAGGGCCAUCGCUCAACGGAUAAAAGGUACUCCGGGGAUAACAGGCUGAUACCGCCCAAGAGUUCAUAUCGACGGCGGUGUUUGGCACCUCGAUGUCGGCUCAUCACAUCCUGGGGCUGAAGUAGGUCCCAAGGGUAUGGCUGUUCGCCAUUUAAAGUGGUACGCGAGCUGGGUUUAGAACGUCGUGAGACAGUUCGGUCCCUAUCUGCCGUGGGCGUUGGAAGAUUGAGAGGGGUUGCUCCUAGUACGAGAGGACCGGAGUGAACGCACCACUGGUGUACGGGUUGUGAUGCCAAUUGCAUUGCCCGGUAGCUAAGUGCGGAAGAGAUAACCGCUGAAAGCAUCUAAGCGGGAAACUUGCCUCGAGAUGAGUCUUCCCUGGGCACUAGAUGCCCCUGAAGGGCCGUUGAAGACGACGACGUAGAUAGGCUGGGUGUGUAAGCGUAGCGAUACGUUGAGCUAACCAGUACUAAUGACCCGAGAGGCUUAACCUUACAACACCGAAGGUGUUU
RNAcentral lists this ribosomal RNA (2934 nucleotides) under Pectobacterium odoriferum. Its description in RNAcentral is "bacterial LSU rRNA". It matches the Rfam family "Bacterial large subunit ribosomal RNA". Lineage: Bacteria; Pseudomonadati; Pseudomonadota; Gammaproteobacteria; Enterobacterales; Pectobacteriaceae. The record is from RNAcentral.